This 425-nucleotide unclassified non-coding RNA is filed under the name Pollicipes pollicipes. RNAcentral's name for it is "iNO80 complex subunit C-like, transcript variant X1". The record is from RNAcentral. Lineage: Eukaryota; Metazoa; Arthropoda; Thecostraca; Pollicipedomorpha; Pollicipedidae.
GUAUUGGCAGUUGGUGGUAUCCACGGGGCUAUUCGACCAAGAUCCAUCUACUGCGCUGGACGUCGACUUGAAGUUGGUGUGCCGAAACUUGCUUCUGCAAACGCUGAAUUCAGGCUCGGGAAUGCACAAGAGCCAGAUAUCUGUAUGCCCAGUAUGCUGAUAUACUCAGUACACUCAGUAAUAUCAGUAUACUCAGUAUGCUGAUAUUGUCAUGAGAAUGAAAGUUCUUGUAAAGACUGAGAAUGAGAGUGUAGAAAACUAUACAUCUGAUUCAGUGGAUAGCAAGACUGGACUUAGCACUAUAUUUAAGGAUCCAAAUUUUAAGCAUACUAACAAGACGGCCAACAAGAAGCGAGCCUGGCGCCCCCUGAAACAGCUCAUCAGUCUGGAGCGCAGCCUGCCCUUCCCCGCCGACGCGGUCACAU